CAAGCGGAGGAACAUGUGGUUUAAUUCGAUGAUACGCGAGGAACCUUACCCGGGCUUGAAAGUUAGUGACGGAUCUUGAAAGAGGUCUUCCCUUCGGGGCACGAAACUAGGUGCUGCAUGGUUGUCGUCAGCUCGUGCCGUGAGGUGUCGGGUUAAGUCCCAUAACGAGCGCAACCCCUACCGUUAGUUGCCAGCAGGUCAAGCUGGGCACUCUGACGGGACUGCCGGUGUAAGCCGAGAGGAAGGUGGGGAUGACGUCAAAUCAGCACGGCCCUUACGUCCGGGGCUACACACGUGUUACAAUGGCAGGUACAGAGGGCAGCUACCCAGCGAUGGGAUGCGAAUCUCGAAAGCCUGUCUCAGUUCGGAUUGGAGGCUGAAACCCGCCUCCAUGAAGUUGGAUUCGCUAGUAAUCGCGCAUCAGCCAUGGCGCGGUGAAUACGUUCCCGG
This 450-nucleotide ribosomal RNA is filed under the name uncultured bacterium. Its description in RNAcentral is "bacterial SSU rRNA". It matches the Rfam family "Bacterial small subunit ribosomal RNA", at positions 926 to 1377 of the family's 1533-position model. The record is from RNAcentral.